Molecule: long non-coding RNA, 773 nt
Organism: Marmota monax (woodchuck)
Lineage: Eukaryota; Metazoa; Chordata; Mammalia; Rodentia; Sciuridae
Exons: 3
Source: RefSeq, a predicted model, not a curated record
CACUGAUUCAGUACAUUCAGGAGGCCCUGGCAGAGGAUCUAGCCAGCUCCAAGGUGUGUGCUGUACACGGAUGUCUGGGAACUCAGCCAGCUGGCCCAGGGGUGGAGCCGACCGGCCACAACUAUAACAGGCCACUGUGUCCUGAUCUCUUUCUAAACACCCUCGAGCCACGGCUCCCACACGGCACCCCAGUGCCUCUGUAUCAGGGUGUCUGAAGGCAGGAAGCCUCGGAGCACCACAGAGGAGCAGCAGGCUCAGGCCGCCGUGGAGAGAGAGCCAAGGUCUCCAACCACCCUCCCUGACCUUCUUCACGCAGGCACCAGAGACCCCUGUGUGUGCAGGGGGCGGAGCUUUGCUCCAUGGCAACCUCAUCACCAUGGAGAAUGCGUUCUGACAUAUUGGGCACAAGUGGAGCACAACCUCUCCUUCCUCUGGCUGAACAUGGUGCAGAGUCACACCGUGGUGUGAUCAGACAUGUACAUAGGGACACCCGCUGGCGAGGACGGGGUGCCCAGCAGAUAAGACAAGCCCACCGCCGACAGGAAAGAUCCCCAGGACACAGAACGAGGCCACUCUGCUCACUGAGCUGAAUUUUGCCUAGGAAGAAGAGAGCAUCGUCAAGGGAGGCUGUCCACGGGCAGGCUCAGCCGGGAGAGUGGACGACCAGACCCCGGGGGCAUCUGAGCCCCUGUAGCUGUCGUGAAUCAUCCAUGUGAAGUCUAUGAGCUCUGCUCCUGUUGUGUUUAAGUGAAUGGAUAAAUAUCUUCCAAACA